This 328-nucleotide ribosomal RNA is filed under the name uncultured eukaryote. Its description in RNAcentral is "partial 18S ribosomal RNA". It matches the Rfam family "Eukaryotic small subunit ribosomal RNA", at positions 1470 to 1796 of the family's 1831-position model. The record is from RNAcentral.
CCCUUAGAUGUUCUGGGCUGCACGCGCGCUACACUGAAGCGUUCAACGAGUAUUCACCUUGCCCGGGAGGGUUGGGUAAUCUUUUGAAAACGCUUCGUGAUGGGGAUAGAUUAUUGCAAUUAUUAAUCUUCAACGAGGAAUUCCUAGUAAGCGCGAGUCAUCAGCUCGUGCUGAUUACGUCCCUGCCCUUUGUACACACCGCCCGUCGCACCUACCGAUUGAAUGGUCCGGUGAAAUCUUCGGAUUGAGACUUUGAUUUCUUCACGGAAAACGCUGUUUUAAAAAGUUGAUUAAACCUUACCAUUUAGAGGAAGGUGAAGUCGUAACA